CCGGCACGGGUGAGUAACACGUGUCCAACCUGCCGUCUACUCUUGGACAGCCUUCUGAAAGGAAGAUUAAUACAAGAUGGCAUCAUGAGUCCGCAUGUUCACAUGAUUAAAGGUAUUCCGGUAGACGAUGGGGAUGCGUUCCAUUAGAUAGUAGGCGGGGUAACGGCCCACCUAGUCUUCGAUGGAUAGGGGUUCUGAGAGGAAGGUCCCCCACAUUGGAACUGAGACACGGUCCAA
Molecule: ribosomal RNA, 237 nt
Filed under: uncultured bacterium
Lineage: Bacteria
Description: partial 16S ribosomal RNA
Rfam family: Bacterial small subunit ribosomal RNA
Source: RNAcentral